CUAGAAUAUCCCCACAAAAGCCUCACGCGCUGAAAAGAGAAGAAUUUAGCCCUGUUGCGGCAUCCUAGUCCGCCGUUGUCUUUGGAGGUCAGGCUUCUAGAUCGGCACAACGUAGGUGUUUCUGUUGGAUCUGUUGUUUCUCUUCUAGGUUGGUAGAUAUUGUCUAAUCUGAUAGCCGUGCAGAGAAACAACAGAUCGAUGCCGGAUCAUCCUACCGCCACGAGUUUAAUUGAAUCUCUAAAUCCCAAAGCCUCUAGAUUUAGUUCAAUUCCGAUUGUUGGGUUUAUGGCCAUCAUCAUCAUCAAGUGGGUUUUAGAGAUUGGGUUCACAUACUAAUAACGUGAUGGCAGUGGGGUUCUAAUGUGAUGAGAACUGGAUGUAUUCAGGAUCCGAGGAUGGAAUAGUAAACAUUUGGGAUUUGAGAGUUCCAGGUUGCCAAAGGGAAUAUGAAAGCCAUGCAGCUGUUAACACUGUUGUGCUGCACCCAAAUCAGACUGAACUAUAUCUGAGGACCAAAAUGGCAAUAUCCGUGUUUGGGAUCUGACAGCAAAUUCUUGCAGUUGUGAAUUGAGGCAAAGAAGCAAAAGAUUUCUGAAAUAAAGGCUGGGAUAUAUAAAGCAGAAUCUUUGGUAAUUGAAUGUCUUGUUCUUUGUAUAGAUAAGAUGUCUCUAUUGUCUUGUCGUGUUGAUUUUUAUUAUCCCUGGCUUGUGGUAGUGGGUUCAGUGAGUGGAUUUACUUAGAAUGAAACUGUGUUAGUAUUUGUCUUACACUCUAAGAAUUAACAAAAUGUGAGU
Molecule: long non-coding RNA, 794 nt
Organism: Argentina anserina (silverweed cinquefoil)
Lineage: Eukaryota; Viridiplantae; Streptophyta; Magnoliopsida; Rosales; Rosaceae
Exons: 5
Source: RefSeq, a predicted model, not a curated record